GACGAACGCUGGCGGCGUGCUUAACACAUGCAAGUCGAACGGAAAGGCCCUGCUUUUGUGGGGUGCUCGAGUGGCGAACGUGUGAGUAACACGUGAGUAACCUGCCCUUGACUUUGGGAUAACUUCAGGAAACUGGGGCUAAUACCGGAUAGGAGCUCCUGCUGCAUGGUGGGGGUUGGAAAGUUUCGGCGGUGGGGGAUGGACUCGCGGCUUAUCAGCUUGUUGGUGGGGUAGUGGCUUACCAAGGCUUUGACGGGUAGCCGGCCUGAGAGGGUGACCGGCCACAUUGGGACUGAGAUACGGCCCAGACUCCUACGGGAGGCAGCAGUGGGGAAUAUUGCACAAUGGGCGGAAGCCUGAUGCAGCAACGCCGCGUGCGGGAUGACGGCCUUCGGGUUGUAAACCGCUUUCGCCUGUGACGAAGCGUGAGUGACGGUAAUGGGUAAAGAAGCACCGGCUAACUACGUG
RNAcentral lists this ribosomal RNA (468 nucleotides) under uncultured bacterium. RNAcentral describes it as "partial 16S ribosomal RNA". It matches the Rfam family "Bacterial small subunit ribosomal RNA", at positions 28 to 507 of the family's 1533-position model. The record is from RNAcentral.